Molecule: long non-coding RNA, 1070 nt
Organism: Spinacia oleracea (spinach)
Lineage: Eukaryota; Viridiplantae; Streptophyta; Magnoliopsida; Caryophyllales; Amaranthaceae
Exons: 4
Source: RefSeq, a predicted model, not a curated record
CUCACUCACCGUAUCUCCGCUACCUUUGUUGAAGAAAUCCCCAAAUUAUCAUUUCUCACAGAUCUACUAUCAAUGGCUUGCAAGUUCUUAGACCUCCUGAUUGGGUUUCUACGAGGUUUAUAUUUAUAUCUCUCCUCUCCAAUUCUAGGUUUAAAUUUGUGUAUUUAGGGUUUGCUUUUCCAUUCGGAUGAAUUUUCGGCUCAACAAAUAUGGGUAGUUAGAUUUCUAUUACAAUUCUGAUUUAUUUUAUUCAAUGUUUGUUAUGUGAAGGAUCUAACAGAGGCAGCUGCGGAAACUCCUAUUGAGUUUUAGGUUUUUUGAUUUCCCUAAAACCUGUUUUUUGUGUUGAGUCGGUGUUAAAUUGAUGAAAUCCCGCAUUUAACUGCCAAUCAGGGGUUGAUGAUCGAUUACCUAGGUUCAUAAUAGACCUCUCCAUCUCUAGAAUCAAAGUUGCAUGUCACUUCAGAGUAAGAGGGAAGGAGAAGGGAGCAGACUUACCCUAAAUGGUCUUGAAGAAAUUCCUUAUUUGCCACUAAUUGUUAAACGCUUAUCGCCUGAGAUUAGGCUGUUGAAUUGAAGUUUCAAUUAUAGUCGUGCUACGACUGUAGGUGUUAGACUUUGUUCUUGGUAGAAGAAGCUUAACUUCCAUUGGAUCCUUACAACAUACCAUGGAGCAUAGGAGGGUGCACCGUGUUUACGAAUCCAACAAGACACAUGAGGUGGCGAGCUUUGCUUGAAAAAACCCUACAGGAUUCCAUUCCCGUGAAGGGUUGGAUUGGGGUUGUUUGAAAAAUUUCGCCAAGUUGAACUUAAUGAGACCUUACUAUUUCGAGGGGAAAGCAGAGUACAUAGAAAUUUUGAGGAAUAGUAUGUCAAGGCAAUCAAAGAGAUCAACAAUGUUGUCAUUAUCAGUAGCUUAAUGGUUCAUGUACUCGUUGCCUCGUUGGUUGUAUUGGAUCCGGAAAACUUAUUACUUUGAAUAUUGUACUAGUAUGAUUUUUAUGACUAACUAUUUAAAGUGUACAGAUAUUGAUCUAUGUUACACAAUAAAAUAUUUCCUUUUGCUUCAA